This 252-nucleotide ribosomal RNA is filed under the name uncultured bacterium. Its description in RNAcentral is "partial 16S ribosomal RNA". It matches the Rfam family "Bacterial small subunit ribosomal RNA", at positions 524 to 776 of the family's 1533-position model. The record is from RNAcentral.
UACGUAGGGUGCGAGCGUUGUCCGGAAUUAUUGGGCGUAAAGGGCUCGUAGGCGGUUUGUCGCGUCGGGAGUGAAAACCUCGGGCUUAACUCGGGGCUUGCUUUCGAUACGGGCAGACUAGAGGUAUGCAGGGGAGAACGAAUUCCUGGUGUAGCGGUGAAAUGCGCAGAUAUCAGGAAGAACACCGGUGGCGAAGGCGGUUCUCUGGGCAUGAUCUGACGCUGAGGAGCGAAAGUGUGGGGAGCGAACAGG